AAGCAAAUCACUACAACAGAAGAGGUGCUGAAUAUCUUCCUCUUCCACUUCACAAAAGUCACAUAAAGUAUCCACCGGUACCCCUCUGUGGUGUAAAUUACCCUUAACUGUAUAGUUUGUCGUUCCCACCUCCGGCCGCCGUGGAGGUUCUCAAUUUGAAUCAUCGUCGUGGAUUCCCGAUAUUUUUCUCAUAGAAUUCAGGCGAUUUAUUUACAACAGGGAGACUGAUAGGAAUAGAGGGCUUAUAUUAGUAACAACAGGGAAAGCAUCAAAGCAGUGGGAUUGUUCUUAAAUUUAAAAAAUUAAUCAGUCAUCAAAAAGCUUUCUCAAUCAAUUAUACACCAUCUUCCUAUUUGCUCAGUACAAAUUUUCGGACGAUCAAGCUCAACUGCAAACAAGGGCAUCAUGUCAAGCUCAAGUGCUAAAGUUACGGAUUCAUAACUCAAACAAGGGCAUCAUAUCAAGCUUGGUUGUUACUCAAUAUUUUUGGCUACUUGAAGAGAAUCCGGAUAUUGUUUCAGACUUUCAGCAAUAAGAAGCAAGUUGUAUAUUAUGACUAUUAAGAACAAGAAAGCUUCAGUGCAUGAAUAGCUACAAUCUGAGAAGGCCAAGACAGUUGAUCAAAGUAAGAAGAGAUAUGGAUUUUCAUCAUCUAAUACCAGUAAUGAUAAUCAAAUUAAAUGAUGAGGCGGAAGAAUGGGCAUGGAUUCCGAUAAAACAACUCCAUUCUCCGGCAAUCUACGGAAAUACCAAGCUAGCUUAAUCACUCGAAAAUCAUUUUUGUUCAUGUAAUUGAACUUCAGUUUAAGUUACCUCUGAUUUCUGCAUCUUUGAGGUUACUCCUGUUAUAUGGAUGAUCAGUCUUGGACUACUGCCAAUCCUUUGGAUUAUCUCUGGCUGAUGCCUUAAAGCAUAUGGUCUUUGAGUAUCGGGUUGCUCCUUAAAGCUUGUGGUCUUCAUGGUACUUUCAUUAAAAUAGUUCUCAUCUCACUCCUAAAGUCCUAAUGUUGUUGUUAGUGGAUCUUGAGUAUUCUACUUGAAGAUGAAGGGAGAUUAUCAUCGUUAUAUUGCCGAGUUUAAAUCUGGUGAUGAAAGGAAAACUGCUGCUGAAGAUACUAUGAAUGCUUACAAAGCUACUCAGGAGUAGCAUGAGUGUGUCCAGUCGUCCAGCAUUACACUUCCCAAGCAAAACUGAUUUAUAUGUAUACUAGAUACUAGGUACUAGAUACCAAUCAUGAACAAGCCACCCACGGAAGCGCUAAAGAUCAUCGAAGAUGUAGUUCAAAACUACACCGAUUGGAGUCCCGACUAGAGGAGCAUCUCCAAGAAGGGAGGAAAGUAUGAGGUAAAUGCUAUAAAUAUGAUUAAUUCAAAAUUAGAUGCUUUGUCUUCUAAGUUUGAUCAAUUGCAAUCCUCUUCUCUAUCCCCUUCUCCAAAUCAAAAUUCACAUGCAUCUAGUUCAUCUAAUGAAAAUAUGUCAAUACAAAUGAUGUCUUGUGAUACUUGUGGAAGUGAUGAUCAUGUGACUUCCGAAUGUUAUUUGCUAAAUGAUUCAUGCUCCCCCUCACCUUUCAUAGAACAAGUAAAUGCAAUCAACAAUGGUCAACACAAUCCUAGGUAUGACCUUUAUUCCAACACUUAUAAUGAGGGAUGAAAACAUCACCUAAACUUUGGUUGGAAAGGGGAUCAAACCCAAGGAAAUGGUCAAGGUCAAUAUAGUGGCCAAAGAAAUGUUCAAAAUAACAACCAAGGAAAUUAUAAGAAUCAAGGUAAUAGUAACUAUGUGUCAAAUAACCAAGUGAACCAUCAAAAUGACAAUAGGUACCAUCAAAGGGGUCAAUAUUCUUCUAAUAAUAACCCACCUGAUUUAAAUGGAGGAAAUAUACCAACCCUUGCUCCUAUUCCUCAACCCCCUCUCCAAAUUCAAGCUCCCCCUCCUAAGUCGAGUCUAGAAACCACAAUGGCAAAAUUUGUUAAUAUGCAAACAAAGAAAACCAAUGACUUAGAGGAGAGUAUCAAGCAAGUGCAACCCCCACAAUAAGAUGCUAGAAACUCAACUAGUUAAUGUACUUAAAAGUAACAAUCCUAGCACCUCUUUGCCUAGUCAAGCUAUUGAUCCUUGAGAACAUUGCAAUGCAAUUAUGACUAGAUGUGGGACUAGCAUAGAUGAAACUCCACCUAUGAGUUUGCAAAAAGAGAAUGAGAGUGAGGAGGUUAAGGAAGAGAAACAAUGUGAGGUAUCUAAGUCAAGUGAGGAUGAGAUGGUUGUCAUGACUGAAUCCACCAUGGUGAGCUUAACCGAAAAUUGUAGUGCGAUCAUCAAGAACCAUUCAUCCACUAAAUUAAAAGAUCUCGGAAGUUUCUCUAUUCCUUGCUCUAUUAAGAACAUUUCCUUUGAAAAUGCCUUAUGUGAUCUAGGAGCUAGUGCGAGUUUGAUGCCUCUUUGGGUUUAUGAGAAGCUUGGUAUAGGUGGUUUGGUACCCACCAAUGUCACUCUUCAACUUGUCGAUCGAUCUAACAAAUUCCUUAAGGGUAAGGUUGAGGGGUAAAUUUCUAAAAUGAGAGUGAAAUAUGUGCGUGAAAUGUGUUGUAAGUGUCGUGAGUGAGUGUUGUGAGUAUUUAAAUACGAGGGGUAAAUACGGAAUUUCAAAGAAAAAAUGCGAACGACACCCAGUAAAUUGGGAGCGCGUUUAAUAACCCCCAAAAAUGAAUCUAUUACAUCUAUUAGAUUUCUUUGUUUCUUUAGAUUUCAUAUCUGCCACGUGGUGUCAUGUUUAAAUGCUUUCAAAAAUGAAUAUGCUAGACAUAUAAAGUAGAAAAUUAAUAUAAAAAUUGCUAACAGAGUUUUAGUUACAACAAGAUCAUAAAUGUGUCUAACAUGAGAAGGGGGUUAUUGAAAUGUUAAGGAUUACAAAGAUCUUUAUAAUAUCCUUCGCCACAUCCGCGGAUUAGUUUAAGUUGUGAAUCUUAAAACCUUGCUACAAAUGUUCUAUUAAGUUCAAGCUAACUUACACGGUUACGCGUCAGAGUAUUAUCAAUAAUUCCAAGUGAUUCAUACAGUGCUUUCAUCAUAUCCGGAUAAUAGUUGUCGUAAUACUCAAUCAUUUGAACCUUGUUUUGAAAAGGUACUCCAGCCUGCAAAAGAGUACAAGGUAGAUAUUUUUCAGCAAAUCAUGGUCUAAUUACAUAAUCAGAUACUUAUGUAAUAGUGAAACAUACCCUGCACAGGUGCGAGAAAAAUGUGAGAAAGUGUAUGACAAAAACUUGUUUGAAUAGCGAUUUCGUCACUUGGAUUCGCUCUUUGUGUUGGUGGCGAUUUAACAAAAGUACUCAGAUUUGGAUCAUUUGACAACUUAGCCCGCCAAUUCCGUAAAAUCUGUGCAUGAGCCGGGUUUUUUCCAACAACAUUCUUCGCGCAAUCGACCAGCUCUCCAAGUUUGGUAAUGCUAUAAAUUCUAGUUUGUUUUGUCCAAAAUCUAGGCGAGUACAGAAAUUUUGCUAUUGAACUAGCCAAUGGUUUAAAAAAAAUAAAUCACAGGUAAUUUUAUGCGCAUUAAUUUCAUAACAUAACAAAAUGAAUCAUUAUAACAUUUCACAAAUUAGGCUAUCAUUUUCUUUUACAUAAAAUAAAUUCAUUAUGGUUAUUAUUUAAUAUACGAAAAUAUUAAAAACACAGAACAUAUUCAAUUUUCUUAAAGGGUAAAAAUAUGUAAAUAUCAAAAGUCAAUACCAAUGUCAAUGUCAGUUACAGUUACGCCUGAAAAAUUGAUACAUAUCUCUUUUGUGUGCGUCACUAAAUAGUUUACAAGCUUCGCUAAUUGAAAAAGUCCCUAUAAUUUCAUAAUCUCUCUUCCCUUGUGGUCUCUAGGCUCACUAUAUAGCCUCAUCCUUUAUUUUUUUUUUACUUUUUUUUUACGGAAAUCAUCCUACAUUUACUUUGCUUUAAAAAAAUUAUUACAUUUUCAAACAUGGGAUGUUAGGUGUGUGGGAUGUUUGGGGUGAGAAUGAGAGUUUUAGUCCUAAAGUAUUUUAAGCAAUUACGGAUAUGAUAAUAUGUAUACACAUUACCCUAUUAAAGAGUAAUGAGUCUAAUGACUAUUAUCUUUAAAUUUUUUUUUUUAAAUAAAAAUCAAUUUAAACUAUGGGGUGGGCCUAGUUUUUAAAAUGAUAAUUCACUUGUUAUCACAUCAAAAGGAGUAAAUUAAAUACGAAUGAUGCAAUGAACUUUGAAAAAUAAUACUUUGUAAAAGUAUUAAAGUUUACCCCAUAGCAAGAUUUUCUGUUAAAGUGCGAGUUAUCAGCUUAGUUUCAUCAUUGUUGAUGAGUUGACAAUCUAUCCAAAUUUGAUCUAGUAACCUUCUCAAAUCCGUCCAAGUCUUUUUUCCACCAUCUACACACUCACAAAUAAAUUAGCAUAUUUGAUAAAUGGAUUACAACACUUAAUUAAAUAGAAAAGUGAGGUUAAUGAGUUACACCAAUGCAAUUACCUUGUAUAAUUGAUUCUGCAACCGCUAACACACGAUAAGGCUUAUCGUUGCUUAUAUAGAUGCUAUUCUUGUCCAAAAAUAACUUGAUUCUAGAGGAAUAACCAUGCAUGACAAUCAACCUCAAAUCUCUACAUAUGUUAUUGAUAAAAUGUUAAUAAGAUAAUAAAAAUUGAAGGAAAUCAUUUGAAAAAGUGAGUUUACAAAAAGUAAUACUUACUGGAUAAUUAAUUUUAACAUAUCGGUCAUUUGAAUAGGGAUUCCAUUAUAAUCGAAGAUACACCAAGCUAGAGCGAUUAUUGUUUAUCCAAGUGGCUAAGGUUGUUCUAGAAAUGUGGUAAGCUAAAACAUAUUUUGUCCCAGCUACAACCAGAAGAAAACAAUCCACAAACCCAGAAUGAGCGUUUUUGCGAAUAAGUUCAAAUAUCUUAUUGGCCGUAACUGGUUCAUGUUCAACCAUGUAAAAUCUCAGAUAAGAAGUAUUAUUGUCCAUAACUACACUGCCGAAGUACUCACCAGUAAACUUCAUUUUUUCCUUAACAAAACAAAAUUUUCAUUACGUUAUUAUUGGUCUUCAUGUUUUAUAGAAUACCAUAAAUAGAAAUAUUAGAUUAAACAAUAAAUAUUUUUUCAACUCAAAACUUAAAACCGUAACAAUUCGGGGUUUAGGAUUAGUGACAAGUUUAGGACGAUGGAUGACGACAACGUUGAUUGUUACGCUUUUAAGUUUUGAGUUAAAAAACUAUUUAUUGUUUAAUCUAAUAUUUCUAUUUAUGGUAUUCUAUAAAACAUGAAGACCAAUAAUAACAUAAUGAAAAUUUUGUUUUGUUAAGGGAAAAAUGAAGUUUACUGGUGAGUACUUCGGCAGUGUAGUUAUGGACAACAAUACUUCUUAUCCGAGCUUUUACAUGGUUGAACAUGAACCAGUUACGGACAAUAACAUAUUUGAAGUUAUUCACAAAAACGCUCAUUCUGGGUUUGCGGAUUGUUUUCCUCCGGUUGUAGCUGGAACAAAAUAUGUUUUAACUCACCGCACUUCUAUAACAACCUUAGCCACUUGGAUAAACAAUAGUCGCUCUAGCUUGGUGUAUCUUGAUUAUAGUGGAAUCCCUAUUCAAAUGAUAGAUAUGUUAAAAUUAUUUACCCCGUAAGUAUUACUUUUUGUAAACUCACUUUUUGAAAUGAUUUCCUUCAUAUCUUAUUAUCUUAUUAACAUUUUACUAAUAACAUAUUUAGAGAUUUGGGGUUGAUUUUCAUGCAUGGUUAUUCCUCUGGAAUCAAGUUAUUUUUGGACAAGAAUAUCAUCUAUAUAACCAACGAUAAGCCUUAUCGUGUGUUAGCGGUUGCAGAAUCAAUUAUACAAGGUAAUUUGCAUUGGUGUAACUCAUUAACCUCGCUUUUCUAUUUAAUUAAGUGUUGUAAUCCAUUUAUCAAAUAUGCUAAUUUAUUUGUGGGUGUGUAGAUGGUGGAAAGAAGACUUGGACGGAUUUGAGAAGGUUACUGGAUCAAAUUUGGAUAGAUUGUCAACUCAUUAACAAUGAUGAAACUAAGCUGAUAACUCGCACUUUAACAGAAAAUCUUGCUAUGGUGCAAACUUUAAUACUUUUACAAAGUAUUAUAUUUCAAAGUUCAUUGCAUCAUUCGUAUUUAAUUUACUCCUUUUGAUGUGAUAACAAGUGAAUUAUCAUUUUAAAAACUUGGCACACCCCAUAGUUUAAAUUGAUUUUCAUUAAAAAAAAAUUAAAGAUAAUAGUCAUUAGACUCAUUACUCUUUAAUAGGGAAAUGUGUAUACAUAUUAUCAUAUCCGUAAUUGCUUAAAAUACUUUAGGACUAAAACUCAUUCUCACCCCAAACAUCCCACACACCUAACAUCCCAUGUUUGAAAAUGUAAUAAUCUUUUUAAAGCAAAGUAAAUGUAGGAUGAUUUGCUA
Molecule: long non-coding RNA, 6416 nt
Organism: Chenopodium quinoa (quinoa)
Lineage: Eukaryota; Viridiplantae; Streptophyta; Magnoliopsida; Caryophyllales; Amaranthaceae
Exons: 7
Source: RefSeq, a predicted model, not a curated record